GAAAGGAAGCACAAUCAGAGGAGGCGAGAAGAGGAUUAGCGUUUUGUUUACGCUAAUUGUAGCCUCGGCUAUUUUGGUGUUCUCCUAGUCCGGUAGUAGUUAAGCGCUAUUUGGUGACUCUCUGGUGGGUCUUGUGCUUCCUGUACUUCGGGUAAAGGUUUGUAUAUAUAUAUAUAUAUAUAUAUAUAUAUAUAUAUAUAUUUUGUUUGUAUAUAUUAGUAUGUAUAUAAUGCACAAAGGUGUAGAAAGACAUAGAUAAGUGUGUGUUCCACUUCUUGUUAAUGUACAGAGAAUUGAAAUACACAAACAAGGACACAAGUCAAACCUGAAAACAAUAGUUUUAUUCAUAUAGGAAUCCAUGUGUUUAUUAGAUGAUUUAUUGGUUCAACUUUUCAUAAUCAGAGAUUGGGCCAAAAUAUACUGGUGGGCUGUUCGAUACAUUUGCACUACAAGUUUUCAACAGCAGACGUCAUCAUAGAGUUUGAGAUGCAUUGAAUGAAUGAACCUUUUUACGAUACGAUUGGCUGGAAAACUUCACUGCUUCAUAAAGCUUCAUAGAGCUUCACUGCUUCAUAAAGCUUCACUGCUUCAUAGAGCUUCAAUGCUUCAUAAAGCUUCAUAGAGCUUCACUGCUUCAUAAAGCUUCAUCUGGCCGUCACUAGUAAACAGCAGAAUGUGCACAGAGGAACUGAAGUCACACAGAAAGAACUACAGAACAGGAGUUUGCUGGACAACACGAGCAGAGCUACUGAGCCACGUUACCACGUAGGAGUAUUAACAAGGUGCCACUGGAGAGGUGAACAGCCCGGCUCUAAAUACUGCAGGGGUGGAUCAUGGAAUGUGGAUCAGCUGUGUAGGAAUGGAGCAGGAUGAACGGCCACGCCUCCUCACCUGCUUCCUCUAGACACGCCCCUUUUCUCUUCUGGUUGAUGCUUCAGCAAAACCAGAGCUACAAGACAAAGAGUUUGGCGCAAAUCCGGUUGAUGCGCGUGAAUCAAACAUCGUGGACGUGAACUUCCUCGCUCGCGAGGUUAAUCUCUGCUCGCGCUCGAAGGUGUUGUUAUUGACAGCAAGGGGGCGGAGCCAGUCACCGGCAUCUCCACGUCUGAUUGGUUCCACUUUUGGUCCUUGGAUUGGCUGGAUUUCGUCCCCGUUGACCGUUGUGAAUCCCCAGAACUGAUGGAGCAGGAUGAACGGAUCGGAUUAACGGUACCUGAGGUGUGCAAGUGGUACAUGAAGACAGACAAUGUCCCUCUCUGUCUUCUUCACAAAUGGCUGUGGAAACCCCUCACCAUGUCCUCCGGCCUCAAACGUUGGAGCGUCUCCUGUCAAAACUGGAGCUCGCACUCAUUCCAACACACUCCAUAUGGAUUUCCUGCAGGAGGAAAAGACGACUUGUCAACAAGGCAAAAGUGAUGCUGAUCAGGAUGCUCGGCCUGCGCUUAGUGCUCCUAAUGGCCUUUGGCACGUUUCACUGCGCCCAAAGGAAAGCCACCAAUCAGAGCCUGGAGUCUCCAACACAGCUGUCAAUCACUGCCAGUGACACGUUGACAAUCAAACCGUCUGAUCUAAACAUCCUAUGAGCUGUUUCAGAGGCAUGUUUCAGCUACUGAUGAGCAGUAAAACAUGUCGGGACAGAAAGCAGUCGAGCCAGGACGUGUCUCCUUGUGGACGUGUAGAUUAUGUCUCGUGUUCUACAGUCAAGAGACAGUGAGACGUUUCAUCGAAGUCACUAAAUGUUGCUUUAAAGCCGUCAUCACAAAGACAUAGUUUCACUUUGUGUGUUUGUCUUGAAGGACACGCUACAUCCAGACGGAGGAAGAUGAAGCAGGUAAACGGCUACAAAUAGAACACAAUGAAGCUGAGUAACACACACACACUGAAACACAGAGCAUCUCACCAAUGGUGAAGCUGAAGCGUCCGUGCAGAAAGUAGCACUGCCGCCCUUUUGAAACGCCUGUUUGUUGG
Molecule: long non-coding RNA, 1968 nt
Organism: Gasterosteus aculeatus aculeatus (three-spined stickleback)
Lineage: Eukaryota; Metazoa; Chordata; Actinopteri; Perciformes; Gasterosteidae
Source: Ensembl